GUCUGUUUCAGUCUCUGUUAAAGAAAGCAGCUCAUCUCUGAUCAGGGUCGCGGUGGGAAUCUCUGCAGCUGUUGUCUUGACGUCUGUGGUUCUGAUGGUUUUCAUCGGGCUCUUGAUCAGAAGGAAACGAGUGACUUCAUCAGAAGAGCUAAACCACAGAGGAUCACGACACAGUAAGACGCUGCAGGCUCCUGAGGACGCCUACAUGACCCUUGACCCCAAGUCCAGAUGUUCUGAAUACGACACACUGGAUAAUAUGAAGAGAUCCUGUGAAAACACAGACGACCCUGAUGAUCAGG
Long non-coding RNA from Sinocyclocheilus rhinocerous, 299 nucleotides. RefSeq lists it as uncharacterized. The record is from RefSeq and is a predicted model, not a curated record. NCBI's taxonomy places the organism in Eukaryota, Metazoa, Chordata, Actinopteri, Cypriniformes, Cyprinidae. The transcript is spliced from 5 exons.